This 496-nucleotide ribosomal RNA is filed under the name uncultured bacterium. RNAcentral describes it as "partial 16S ribosomal RNA". It matches the Rfam family "Bacterial small subunit ribosomal RNA", at positions 28 to 523 of the family's 1533-position model. The record is from RNAcentral.
GAUGAACGCUAGCGGCAGGCUUAACACAUGCAAGUCGAGGGGUAGAGUUAGCUUGCUAACUUGAGACCGGCGCACGGGUGCGUAACGCGUAUGCAAUCUACCUUGUACAGAGGGAUAGCCCAGAGAAAUUUGGAUUAAUACCUCAUAGUAUUAUUGAAUGGCACCAUUUGAUUAUUAAAGUUCCAACGGUACAAGAUGAGCAUGCGUCCCAUUAGCUAGAUGGUAAGGUAACGGCUUACCAUGGCAACGAUGGGUAGGGGUCCUGAGAGGGAGAUCCCCCACACUGGUACUGAGACACGGACCAGACUCCUACGGGAGGCAGCAGUGAGGAAUAUUGGUCAAUGGGCGCAAGCCUGAACAAGCCAUGCCGCGUGCAGGAAGACGGUCCUAUGGAUUGUAAACUGCUUUUAUACGGGAAGAAACCCUGCUACGUGUAGCAGCUUGACGGUACCGUAAGAAUAAGCAUCGGCUAACUCCGUGCCAGCAGCCGCCGCAG